Molecule: unclassified non-coding RNA, 168 nt
Filed under: soil metagenome
Description: partial internal transcribed spacer 1
Source: RNAcentral
GUGAAUUAAACAUGCUUGGUGUCUUCGCUUCGGCAAGGCCCUUGCUUAAAUCACAUCCUAACACCUGUGAACUGUAAGACGUAUGAUGAGGUCUUUGGCCCAAGUCAUCGUCUGCCCAUUUUUAACAAACAAUUAAUGUAACAAACGUAGUCUUAUUAUAACCUAAUA